RNAcentral lists this ribosomal RNA (650 nucleotides) under uncultured Glomus. RNAcentral describes it as "SSU rRNA". It matches the Rfam family "Eukaryotic small subunit ribosomal RNA", at positions 624 to 1276 of the family's 1831-position model. The record is from RNAcentral. Lineage: Eukaryota; Fungi; Glomeromycota; Glomeromycetes; Glomerales; Glomeraceae.
AAGCUCGUAGUUGAAUUUCGGAAUCAAUUUGUUGGUCGUGCCUCGGUACGUACUGGUAUUAUUGGUUUCUACCUUCUGAAGAACCUUGAUGUCAUUAAUUUGGUGUCUUGGGGAAUCAGGACUGUUACUUUGAAAAAAUUAGAGUGUUUAAAGCAAGCAUACGCUUGAAUACAUUAGCAUGGAAUAAUGAAAUAGGACGUUUGAUUCUAUUUUGUUGGCUUCUAGGAUCGACGUAAUGAUUAAUAGGGAUAGUUGGGGGCAUUAGUAUUCAAUUGUCAGAGGUGAAAUUCUUGGAUUUAUUGAAGACUAACUACUGCGAAAGCAUUUGCCAAGGAUGUUUUCAUUAAUCAAGAACGAAAGUUAGGGGAUCGAAGACGAUUAGAUACCGUCGUAGUCUUAACCAUAAACUAUGCCGACUAGGGAUCGGAUGAUGUUAAUUUUUUAAUGACUCAUUCGGCGCCUUACGGGAAACCAAAGUGCUUGGGUUCCGGGGGGAGUAUGGUCGCAAGGCUGAAACUUAAAGGAAUUGACGGAAGGGCACCACCAGGGGUGGAGCCUGCGGCUUAAUUUGACUCAACACGGGGAAACUCACCAGGUCCAGACAUAGUAAGGAUUGACAGAUUGAGAGCUCUUUCUUGAUUCUAUGGGUG